Long non-coding RNA from Hydractinia symbiolongicarpus, 3261 nucleotides. RefSeq lists it as uncharacterized. Lineage: Eukaryota; Metazoa; Cnidaria; Hydrozoa; Anthoathecata; Hydractiniidae. The transcript has 2 exons. The record is from RefSeq and is a predicted model, not a curated record.
UAUCCUAUAUUAAGUUAAGGAGGCCUUUACAGUGCACUUAAAACUUUGAGGCCAAAUAACUUGGAAACAAGGUGGUGACGUCAAUGAUUUUUCACCGCGUGGGUAACUAGGGACCACCUGGGACCAAUUUGGGUAGUUUUCUAAACCUGGUUCCCCGAAUCCGUUUCGGAAUAGACGGGUUGAUGACGUAAUCAAAAACCUUUAAAUCUUAAUAUCUUUGCAACCGUUUGUCAAAGAUACAUGAUCCUAUACAUUUUCUUAAUCGGCGUUUUAAGAUCUAUACGAUGAAGGCAACAGGUAUACAAAUUUCUUAAAAAAAAAAUUUGAGUUUUAACGGGCCAAUGCUGUCGUCGGCAAACUUUUUAAACCCUUAUUUCUCCUUGGGUGUUCCUUAAAAAAUAUAUGAUCCUAUACAUUAUUUUGAUCAGCGUUUCAAACUCUACACAUUACAGUCAACGAAUAAACUAAACUUCUCCAAAUAUAAUUUUUUGUAUCUGCACUGCUGACGUCAGCAAAAAAUCUAAAACAACCUAUUUUACCAUUGUCCCUCGACCUAAGUGGUUUUCUCCACUGGCCUUAUCGACUAGUCUAUAUAAUAAUACGCCAGUUCCGUGUCUCUGUGACAGGCAAAGUGGAUGUCUUCAUUUUCCUUUGAUAUUGCCGAAAAAUGCAUGUCUAAUAUGGUAAAUAUUCAGACAUUACGGCGCGACGUCAAUAACACUACUUUAACGUCAAUAUCCUAUAUUAAAUUAAUGAAGCCAUUACAGUGCACCUAAAACUUUGAGGCUAAAUAACUUGGAAACGAGUUGGUGACGUCAAUGAUUUUUCACCGCGUAGGUAACUAGGGACCACCUUGGACCAAUUUGGGUAAGUUUCCCAAACCUGGGUCCCCGAAUCCGUUUUGGGAAUGGACGGGUUGAUGACGUCAUCAAAAAGUCUUUAAACCCUAAUAUCUCUGCAACCGUUUGUCAAAGAUAUAUGAUCCUAUACAUUUUCUUGAUCAUCGUUUCAAGGUCCAUACGAUGAAGGUAACAGGGAUAUAAAUUUCUGAAAAAAUAUUUUUGCGUUUUAACGGGCCAUUGCUGACGUCAGCAAAAUUUUAAAACCCUUUUAUGUCUUUUGUUGUUCGUAGAAAAGUUAUGAUCCUAUAUUAUUUUGAUCAGCGUUUCAACCUCUACACGUUACAGGCAACGAAUAAACUAAAUUUCGCCAAUUUUCUUUUUUUUUUUUGGAUUUGCAAUGCUGACGACAGCAAACCAACAUUUUCAAUGUCCUAUUGCCUAAGUGGAUUUCUCCACGGGUCUUUAUCGACUAGUAUCUUAUAUUAAGUUAAGGAAGCUCUUACAGUGCACUUAAAAUUUUAAGGCCAGAUAACUGGGAAACGAGGUGGUGACGUCAAUGAUUUUUCACCACGUGGGUAACAAGGAACAACCUAAGACCAAUUUAAGUAAUUUUCCAAAACCCGGGUCCCCAAAUCCGUUUCAGAAUGGACGGGUUGAUGACGUCAUCAAAAAACCUUUAAACCCUAAUAUCUCCGCAACCGUUUAUCAAAAGUACAUGAUCCUAUACAUUUUCUUGAUCAGCCUUCCAAGAUCUAUACGAUGAAGGCAACAGGUAUACAACUUCGAAAAAAAAAUUCGGUUUUGACAGGCCAUUGCUGACGUCAGCAAAAUCUUUAAACCCUUUUACCUUAUUAACCGCUCACCAAAAGAAUAUGAUCAUAUACAUUUUCUUGAUCAGCAGUUGAAGCUCUGCACAAUAGAGGCAACGUGAAAACAAGGUUCUAAUUUUUUUUGUGGAUGAGUUGCUGACGUCAUCAUAAUUCAAAUCACGCUUCUUUUUUCAUUUUUAUCCUGCCUCAGUGGAUUUUUCCACAAGUUUUAUCAACUAGUUAUAUAAAUAUAAAAUAAAAUUGUAAUGACUUCACUAAUGUUAAUAUACUUUCCUUUGACGUCAAUAUUAUUUAAACAUCGAAGUUUGGUAAAUUACACAACCAUUUUAUGUUUUAUAGACUUUAUCAAAGAAAAUUGUGCAGAAUAUAAUCCACUUUGUAAAAGUCACACACAGUCAGACAGACAGAAGCAUUGUAUUAUUAUAUAGGUAAAUUAACGUAGUUAUGGAUAAAGAGCCAGUCAUUAGGUUGGGUUUACCAUAUAUAUUUAUAAAAAGUGGAUAAAUUUAAUUUUUGUAUACGCUAAAAGAUGGUUCUACGUAAAGAAAACCUUAUGUAAAAUGUUUUUAUUAUAUACGUGUUUUAUAUUAUUAUUUUCGCUACGGUAAUGUUACAGCUUGAAGCAAUUAAUAGCUAUGUCGCCUGUUGGAAUUUAUUUUCACAUGUGGAGUGUAAACUUGAAAGGACAUGAUGGCAGUUACUGAAAUCUCUUUUUUCUUAUUUAAAGGAUAACUAACGGUUGAUAACAAGUUCUGGUUAAAAUGUUCAUUAUAGUGUGAAUAUGAUCUGAGUAUUUUUUUUUAUAAUAAUUAAGAGAUAAUUAAGGUCAAAGUAGACCUACGGUCGCCGCCAAGUGUCGACGAAGCCUUUCUGUUCGGUAAAUUACUAACUUAUGUGACGUAAUUCCGUGUGGAUGUAAACAAAGACAUUCUGAAUGAACGAAGAGAGGGAAUGCUAAACUGUACUUCCUGUGAUUGUCUAGGAGUAAUUUUAUCCAUCAUGUUUUGAAAUAAAUAUCUUUUACACAAUAUAAUAAUGUUUAACUGUAAUAAAUUUGGACAUAGUUUAUCACUUGAAAAAUAUAAGUAUUACGUGUGUUGGAAUUUAUCAUGAAAUUUUUCUUGUGUUAUUUUUGUAUUAGAACAUAUUGAAAGACGACAGGUGCUUUAGUUUUCCAGUUUCGAAAAAAACAGCUCAAAUUAUUAUCUGCAAUAAAGUGUAGUCUAAAUAAUUUGCAAAACAAGAACAGUCUCAAGAAUUUAGCAUGCCUUCUUUAUCGCUCGAACUUUGCGAUAAAUUUAAAUCGCUCUGGGAACACGAAGAAGUUACUGAAUCUUCAUCCAUUAUCUUACAAAUCAUGUUGAGUUAUGUACACCGUGUGACGUCACAAAUCAACAAAAUAUCUACGAACCAAGUUGGCUUUUUGUUCGAUAAUGGCGGUGACCGUUGAUGUCAUUAUCCAUUUUGUUGUCCAAUUUUUGUGUGGACAAAAUUUGGACACAAAAAAUGAAAAAAUGUAAUUUUUUUAAUGCGAUGUUGUUUUCGUGAUAUGUAAGAAUGUUUUAAUUAUACCAAACAUAUAUAAUGUA